This 365-nucleotide ribosomal RNA is filed under the name uncultured bacterium. RNAcentral's name for it is "bacterial SSU rRNA". It matches the Rfam family "Bacterial small subunit ribosomal RNA", at positions 533 to 896 of the family's 1533-position model. The record is from RNAcentral.
UGCAAGCGUUGCUCGGAAUUACUGGGCGUAAAGCGUACSCWKGCUGUCCGUUAAGUCGGGUGUGAAAGCCCGGGGCUCAACCCCGGAAUUGCGCCCGAAACUGGCGGGCUUGAGUGCGGGAGAGGGAAGCGGAAUUCCUGGUGUAGAGGUGAAAUUCGUAGAUAUCAGGAGGAACACCGGUGGCGAAAGCGGCUUCCUGGCCCGACACUGACGCUCAUGUACGAAAGCGUGGGGAGCAAACAGGAUUAGAUACCCUGGUAGUCCACGCCGUAAACGAUGAGUGCUAGCUGCUGGGAAUGUCUACCGUCUCAGUGGCGAAGCUAACGCAUUAAGCACUCCGCCUGGGAAGUACGGCCGCAAGGCUA